AACAACCCCAAAUUUAGCCAAGCCAAGUAAGACAAAAAGAAAGUUCCGCGUUUUUGCAUUCUAGGGUUAGGGUUUUUUAACUGAAAAAACCACUGGCUCUGUGUUUUUUUUUUUCGCCGGAAAAACACUCCAGGCUGAUUUCCCGACGAUUUCGUCGGAAUCAGAUGGGGCAAUGUGUCUCACGGCGCCGGAAAACAAAUAAGUGGGAUAAUGAGGAUUCCAGGCCUCUGGAGACGGGGUGUCUCGCCAUAGCCAAGGAGCAGAGGUCGAGGCUCUAUAUUGUAAGAAGAUGCAUUGUAAUGCUUCUUUGUUGGCAAAAAUAUGGGAGAUACUGAUUGUUCAAGAGCUUGUCUAUGGCUUUUCCGGUGAGUUCUUCGGAUUUCAGGUAAGGGGUUUAUGCAAAUGAAGGUUUUGUUCUCAUAAUUCCCCUUAGUUGUGUAUCAUGAGGCUUCGAUGAUCAUUUCAAUGGGCAAAUUCAAUAGAAAUACAGAGAGAUUGAAUGCGUUCAUCAUUCAUUUGAAACCGAACUCGAGCCGUGGAGGCGACCAUGCAGGGUUAUGAGGUCUUUGGUUUUUACCUUUGUAAAGAAAAUAUAUGGAAUUUUAGAGAAAAUAGAGAUGAUUUAUUUUGCUAUGUGAAUAAAUUCAUGUACAAAAAGAGA
Molecule: long non-coding RNA, 661 nt
Filed under: Amborella trichopoda
Lineage: Eukaryota; Viridiplantae; Streptophyta; Magnoliopsida; Amborellales; Amborellaceae
Description: long non-coding RNA (ATRI_LNC000574)
Source: RNAcentral